Long non-coding RNA from Micropterus salmoides (largemouth bass), 515 nucleotides. RefSeq lists it as uncharacterized. The record is from RefSeq and is a predicted model, not a curated record. The transcript has 3 exons. Lineage: Eukaryota; Metazoa; Chordata; Actinopteri; Centrarchiformes; Centrarchidae.
AGCUGUGUUUAUCACCUCCAUGUUUCUUCUCAUGACUUCUCCUCUGAGAGCCGUCGGCUGUCUCUCACUGUCUCAGAUCCAACAGGUCUUCUCAUCAAAGUGGUCGUCCUGCCGCUGACUCUGCUGUUGGUGAUCGCUGCCCUUUGUUUCUACUAUAAGGCCAGCAGGGGGCAGAAGCCGGGCAGGCAGGAGAACAUUGAGCUGGAUUAUUAUAACGUGGGUGUUUCUGCAGCUGAAGAGGAAGGAGCUCAGGGAGCAGAGUAGGACCUCCAAGAAGCUCAUCUCAGCUGCCUCACAACCCACCAUCAGCUCAGUCAAGGAUUUUACACUUUUAUACUGAUGUUCCCUUUAAAGAUAUUGUGUUGUGAUAAAUCUUACCACCUUCUAUGUUGUUGUUUUUUUUAAUUUGUACUGAAAAUGUCAUGUCUUCCCACCCUCUGUUGAACCAUGGUUGGCAUUGUCAAGGAAAUUAUGUUCCUGGUAAGGGAUUAAACAUAUAAUUGAGUUACAACCAA